UCAAGCGAAGAAAGUACCGUGAAGAAUGCAUCACCAUCGCUGUUCCUGUUGGGUGAUUGCUUGCCAGCUAUCCAAGGAUGCAACAGCGUGGAAAGCAGGGCUACCGAUGGUGCGGCCGCGUGUUUUCUCCAUUGCCGAUUUUGGGGGAGUGAGCGACAGGAUCAUGCUUGACACCAAGGCAUUCCAGAAGGCGAGGCAAGCUGGGAGGUGCAACUAUCGGCUGACCGGAUCAAUCUCACGAGCCACAUGACUCGCCACAAUCCUUGCCUCCAAGGAUCCUUAAGAUUGGCCCAUGCUUGAUCCCUUGCCAUCAUAUGGGCCAGGAAGGCUGAUCUAUUUCAUCCGCAGAUGCCUAGAAGUAUCGUGGGAAGUGGGAAAAGGGUGUAAUUUCUGAGUCGCAAUGAGAGGCAAGGCAACCCAUAUGUAUGGAUUUCGGUAUACAAUCGGACCAGCCGGCACUAGAAAGUCCACCAUGCCGCUGUGAGAUACCUUUCUUAGGAAGGCUGCCACAUAAUUUUCCUUGAUGCUCAAAGGCUCUGCAAGAAUCUGGAAGCAACUCUAUUAUGGAGCCUUGUGCAAGAAUUCCCUGCCAUUGCCAGUCUUUCAACGAUUUUUGAAUGUGUGGCCUUUUUGAUGCAUUUGAAAGUAAGAGCUACGAUUGUAGUGGACAAUGGCAAUGUAAUUUCAAUGAAGAGUGGUGCUAUUGCUUUGUUAGCUGGCCUUAUGAAUGUUUGUAAUGUAGUCUUUUGUGUUUCACUCUCUAAUGAAUAGAAUAAAAUGAUCUACAAUCC
Molecule: long non-coding RNA, 791 nt
Organism: Selaginella moellendorffii
Lineage: Eukaryota; Viridiplantae; Streptophyta; Lycopodiopsida; Selaginellales; Selaginellaceae
Exons: 2
Source: RefSeq, a predicted model, not a curated record